ACCUAAACACUAGCCCAACAAUUUACCCAAUAAUCCCAUCACAACUAAAACAAACCAUUUGCCAAAACUAGUAGAGGCGAUCAAACCUUACCAACCGGCGCUAUAGAUAGCAGUACCGCAAGGGAAACAUGAAAAAACAAUGAAAAACCAAGUACAACAUAGCAGAGAUAAACACUCGUACCUCUUGCAUCACGGUCCAGCAAGAAAUAUACAAGCACGCUGCCACAAAGCCUGUAUCCCCGAAUCCAAGUGAGCUACCACAAGGCAACUGUAAGAGCGAAUCCGUCCCUGUAGCAAAAGGGUGGAAAGACCUUAUGGUAGAGGUGAAAAGCCUACCGAACUUGUUGAUAGCUGGUUGCCUGAUAAAAAAACCUAAGUUUAACUUUAGGCUUCACUAAAAAAAGUGACAAAUUCUACCAACCUUAAGCCUAAAAGCUAUUCAAUAGAGGUACAGCUCUAUUGAAGCAGGAAACAACCUGAAGUAGAGAAAAAUAAAUUACAUCCCUUUAACCGUAGGCCCUAAAGCAGCCACCAAUAAACACCGCGUCAAAGCAAACCAAUAAAAAAUUCCAACUAAUCACUAUACUUCCUACCCCCACACCAGGCCAUUCUAUUAAAACAUAGAAGAAACUAUGCUAGAACUAGUAACAAGAAACACUUCUCUCAGCACAACUGUAAACCAGCAAUAGAACACCUACUGAAAAUUAACAGACGCAAUAAUUAAAACUUCCCCAAACUAUUUUUAUACACUGUUAACCCGACACAGGAGUGCUAAAAAGAAAGAUUAAAAGCCAAAGAAGGAACUCAGCAAAUACUAAUCCCAACUGUUUACCAAAAACAUAGCCUUUAGCCCUCACAAGUAUUAAAGGUAACGCCUGCCCAGUGACUCAUUAAACGGCCGCGGUAUCCUAACCGUGCAAAGGUAGCGUAAUCACUUGUCCUCUAAAUAAGGACUAGUAUGAACGGCUAAAUGAGGAUUAACCUGUCUCCUUAGGCCAAUCAGUGAAACUGAUCUGCCAGUACAAAAGCUGACAUGACACCAUAAGACGAGAAGACCCUGUGGAGCUUUAGAUCCUUUAGCCAAAUCCAACCCUCCCCUAUUCACCCAUGGCUAAACAUCUUAAGUUGGGGCGACUUCGGAGCAAAGCAAAACCUCCGAGCAACAGAACCUAAAUCUAUCCCUAGGCAAACACGCCAAAGCAAAGCCUGACCCAGUAUUACUGACCACCGAACCAAGUUACCCCAGGGAUAACAGCGCCAUCUUCUUCAAGAGUCCAUAUCGACAAGAAGGUUUACGACCUCGAUGUUGGAUCAGGACACCCAAAUGGUGCAGCCGCUAUUAAAGGUUCGUUUGUUCAACGAUUAACAGUCCUACGUGAUCUGAGUUCAGACCGGAGCAAUCCAGGUCGGUUUCUAUCUAUGACGCCGCUCUCUUCAGUACGAAAGGACCAAGAAAGCAGGACCUAUACUACUAAAGCACGUCCUACCUUCCCCGAGUUGACCCCCACUCAAACUCAAAAGAAGCACAACACCCCCCCGGAGAUAUACGGGAU
Molecule: ribosomal RNA, 1553 nt
Filed under: Cyclura pinguis
Lineage: Eukaryota; Metazoa; Chordata; Lepidosauria; Squamata; Iguanidae
Description: l-rRNA
Rfam family: Bacterial large subunit ribosomal RNA
Source: RNAcentral